This 492-nucleotide ribosomal RNA is filed under the name uncultured bacterium. RNAcentral describes it as "partial 16S ribosomal RNA". It matches the Rfam family "Bacterial small subunit ribosomal RNA", at positions 29 to 507 of the family's 1533-position model. The record is from RNAcentral.
AGUGAACGCUGGCGGUAGGCCUAACACAUGCAAGUCGAACGGCAGCACAGUAAGAGCUUGCUCUUACGGGUGGCGAGUGGCGGACGGGUGAGGAAUACAUCGGAAUCUACUUUUUCGUGGGGGAUAACGUAGGGAAACUUACGCUAAUACCGCAUACGAUCUACGGGUGAAAGUAGGGGAUCUUCGGACCUUGCGCGAUUGAAUGAGCCGAUGUCGGAUUAGCUAGUUGGCGGGGUAAAGGCCCACCAAGGCGACGAUCCGUAGCUGAUCUGAGAGGAUGAUCAGCCACACUGGAACUGAGACACGGUCCAGACUCCUACGGGAGGCAGCAGUGGGGAAUAUUGGACAAUGGGCGCAAGCCUGAUCCAGCCAUACCGCGUGGGUGAAGAAGGCCUUCGGGUUGUAAAGCCCUUUUGUUGGGAAAGAAAAGCAGCAGGUUAAUCCCCCGCUGUUCUGACGGUACCCAAAGAAUAAGCACCGGCUAACUUCGUG